RNAcentral lists this ribosomal RNA (497 nucleotides) under uncultured bacterium. Its description in RNAcentral is "partial 16S ribosomal RNA". It matches the Rfam family "Bacterial small subunit ribosomal RNA", at positions 28 to 507 of the family's 1533-position model. The record is from RNAcentral.
GAUGAACGCUGGCGGCGUGCCUAAUACAUGCAAGUCGAGCGAACGGACGAGAAGCUUGCUUCUCUGAUGUUAGCGGCGGACGGGUGAGUAACACGUGGAUAACCUACCUAUAAGACUGGGAUAACUUCGGGAAACCGGAGCUAAUACCGGAUAAUAUUAUGAACCGCAUGGUUCAAAAGUGAAAGACGGUCUUGCUGUCACUUAUAGAUGGAUCCGCGCUGCAUUAGCUAGUUGGUAAGGUAACGGCUUACCAAGGCAACGAUGCAUAGCCGACCUGAGAGGGUGAUCGGCCACACUGGAACUGAGACACGGUCCAGACUCCUACGGGAGGCAGCAGUAGGGAAUCUUCCGCAAUGGGCGAAAGCCUGACGAAGCAACGCCGCGUGAGUGAUGAAGGUCUUCGGAUCGUAAAACUCUGUUAUUAGGGAAGAACAUAUGUGUAAGUAACUGUGCACAUCUUGACGGUACCUAAUCAGAAAGCCACGGCUAACUACGUG